Molecule: non-coding RNA, 30 nt
Filed under: Rattus norvegicus (Norway rat)
Lineage: Eukaryota; Metazoa; Chordata; Mammalia; Rodentia; Muridae
Source: RNAcentral
UUAGCCUUUUAUUAACUUGGGGAGCAAGGU